AGAGUUUGAUCCUGGCUCAGGACGAACGCUGGCGGUGCGCUUAUGCAUGCAAGUCGAGCGAAGCUUUUCAGUAGUUUACUACAGAAAAUGACUGAGCGGCGAACGGGUGAGUAACGCGUGAGCAAUCUACUUUAGUUACAGGGAUAGCCCGAGGAAACUCGGAUUAAUACUGAUAUUCUUUAUUUCUCGCAUGAGAAUAAAAGGAAAGGUCAGCCGAACUAAGAUGAGCUCGCGUUCUAUCAGCUAGUUGGUGAGGUAAAAGCUUACCAAGGCUACGACGGAUAGCUGGUCUGAGAGGACGAUCAGCCACACUGGGACUGAGACACGGCCCAGACUCCUACGGGAGGCUGCAGCAGGGAAUAUUGUGCAAUGAACGAAAGUUUGACACAGCGACACCGCGUGUGGGAUGACGGAUCUAGGUUUGUAAACCACUUUCAGGAGGGAAGAAAAUGACGGUACCUCCACAAGAAGCCCCGGCCAACUACGUGCCAGCAGCCGCGGUAAUACGUAGGGGGCGAGCGUUGUCCGGAUUUAUUGGGCGUAAAGAGCUCGUAGGCGGUUCAACAAGUCGGUCGUGAAAGUUCAGGGCUCAACCCUGAAAUGUCGAUCGAUACUGUUGUGACUAGGAUACGGUAGAGGUGAGUGGAAUUCCGAGUGUAGCGGUGAAAUGCGUAGAUAUUCGGAGGAACACCAAUUGCGAAGGCAGCUCACUGGACCGCUAUCGACGCUGAGGAGCGAAAGCUAGGGGAGCAAACAGGAUUAGAUACCCUGGUAGUCCUAGCUGUAAACGAUGGAUACUAGACGUAGGAACUGGAUUGACGGUUUCUGUGUCGUAGCUAACGCGUUAAGUAUCCCGCCUGGGGAGUACGGUCGCAAGACUAAAACUCAAAGGAAUUGACGG
RNAcentral lists this ribosomal RNA (901 nucleotides) under uncultured marine bacterium. Its description in RNAcentral is "bacterial SSU rRNA". It matches the Rfam family "Bacterial small subunit ribosomal RNA", at positions 8 to 916 of the family's 1533-position model. The record is from RNAcentral.